UACCCUGCAGCGUCAACAACUUAACCAUUUGCCAGACAAAUAUGUGAGGAAAUAAAAGAAAACAGAAACUGGUAUGGAGCGGUUGUCAGCAGAUGGCCUCGGUAUCUAUCUGAUGAGCUUGGAAUUGGAGAAUGCUAUUGCUGAUGUCGAAAGAAGUUAUGAUGGCAUUAGAAAAGUAGUAUAUGGAGACUGUAAUGCCUUUAAGAGACAACAUAUCAAAAAUUCUUGAGCAGCAUGUUCAAGGACUAACAAGAAGACAGUCGAUAGCUCCGUAUGCUAUGCCAAAUCAGUUAGGGGCAUUCAUGAAUACAGUUAAAACAAUUCUAGAUCUGUUACAUUGCUGGACUGAGGAUAUUCUGAAAU
Lolium rigidum is the source of this 363-nucleotide long non-coding RNA. RefSeq lists it as uncharacterized. The record is from RefSeq and is a predicted model, not a curated record. The transcript has 3 exons. Lineage: Eukaryota; Viridiplantae; Streptophyta; Magnoliopsida; Poales; Poaceae.